RNAcentral lists this ribosomal RNA (500 nucleotides) under uncultured Enterobacterales bacterium. RNAcentral describes it as "bacterial SSU rRNA". It matches the Rfam family "Bacterial small subunit ribosomal RNA", at positions 30 to 517 of the family's 1533-position model. Lineage: Bacteria; Pseudomonadati; Pseudomonadota; Gammaproteobacteria; Enterobacterales. The record is from RNAcentral.
AUUGAACGCUGGCGGCAGGCCUAACACAUGCAAGUCGAACGGUAGCACAGAGGAGCUUGCUCCUUGGGUGACGAGUGGCGGACGGGUGAGUAAUGUCUGGGAAACUGCCCGAUGGAGGGGGAUAACUACUGGAAACGGUAGCUAAUACCGCAUAACGUCGCAAGACCAAAGAGGGGGACCUUCGGGCCUCUUGCCAUCGGAUGUGCCCAGAUGGGAUUAGCUAGUAGGUGGGGUAACGGCUCACCUAGGCGACGAUCCCUAGCUGGUCUGAGAGGAUGACCAGCCACACUGGAACUGAGACACGGUCCAGACUCCUACGGGAGGCAGCAGUGGGGAAUAUUGCACAAUGGGCGCAAGCCUGAUGCAGCCAUGCCGCGUGUAUGAAGAAGGCCUUCGGGUUGUAAAGUACUUUCAGCGAGGAGGAAGGCGUUGUGGUUAAUAACCGCAACGAUUGACGUUACUCGCAGAAGAAGCACCGGCUAACUCCGUGCCAGCCGCCG